UACGUAGGGCGCGAGCGUUGUCCGGAAUUAUUGGGCGUAAAGAGCUCGUAGGCGGUUUGUCGCGUCUGCUGUGAAAACCCGAGGCUCAACCUCGGGCCUGCAGUGGGUACGGGCAGACUAGAGUGCGGUAGGGGAGAUUGGAAUUCCUGGUGUAGCGGUGGAAUGCGCAGAUAUCAGGAGGAACACCAAUGGCGAAGGCAGAUCUCUGGGCCGUAACUGACGCUGAGGAGCGAAAGCAUGGGGAGCGAACAGG
Molecule: ribosomal RNA, 253 nt
Filed under: uncultured bacterium
Lineage: Bacteria
Description: partial 16S ribosomal RNA
Rfam family: Bacterial small subunit ribosomal RNA
Source: RNAcentral